RNAcentral lists this long non-coding RNA (6078 nucleotides) under Xyrichtys novacula (pearly razorfish). The record is from RNAcentral. Lineage: Eukaryota; Metazoa; Chordata; Actinopteri; Labriformes; Labridae.
UGGACUCAUUCUUAAAAGUUAUUAAAGGGUCCAUGUUUUCUAUGAUUGACACUUCAUACAGCCUGUGGGCGUACAAAGGUUGUGUAGUUCACCCGGGGAUACGAAGUUUGAGCAGAGUGUCAUCACAGUGACUAUCCUGCUGAAUGUGUACAACGCUACUGCGCAGGUGGUGGUUCCUGGAAGUGGAGAAAAAUCCUGGAAAUACAAAGAGCAAUUCGGCUUCAAAUUCGUAUAAUGACGGAAGGCGGAGCAGAGUUGCCCGUCGUAUAUACAGUCUAUGGGUGAGCACGACCAUCUCUGGUAUUGUCCAAAGCAAGGUUUUCGACACGGUUUUGUAUUGAAUGACACUGGGUAAGAUUGUAAGUUAAAAACAACACUGACAAAAAAAAAACUAGGAAAUUACGAGUUCUUCUCUGCACCACAAAUUCAAAGUCUUUAACAGGAGCGUUGACUUGGUUGAUCUGCAGCCAAUCGCCAAACUCAGCAAGCUAACACUGCAGCACAAUACACACCAGCAAAAGCACGGGUAAGUGAGACUGUGAGCAAAGAAAGUGAACCUCAUCAACAGAAACUCAUUUUCACUCCUGCUUUUACGUUUUCUCGACUUUGAGAAUAAAAAGUUCACGCUGCAUUGUGUGAAAAAAUGUAAAAUGUUUCCCAUAGAACAUAAAAAUCAUCUUCAUAUCUACAUUUUAAAUAGUCCUAAUUAUGAUCUCUUGCUUUCUAACGCUCAUCCCCUCAGUUUCUCGCACAAUUCACCCUCAUUAAAAUGAAACGCUUGGAGAAACUAUGACGUCUGAGUCUGCAUUGACUAUGCUAUAUUUAAGCAGUCCAUAUUAUACAAUAAACCUAUAUAAAGAAGACUGACAGUCAGAACGUGGCCUAGAAAUGCAAAGGAUGAAGCAGCUCAGAAAUGCAUUUGAUGCGCUACAUGCUCCAUGAUCAUCCCAUCAACUCUGCUCAGUGUUGCAAGAGAGAGAGAGAGAGAGAGAAGGAGAGACAGAAGUAGAAUAAAUGGAUUGCAUUGACAUGCAAUAUAGGAUUUAUGGAAAAGGCGACCAUUCACUCAUCUUCAUUACAUCUAAGGGGAUGAUUGUGAAAUAACACACAAUAUUAUAACCGGCGCAAAGACGGGGCAGGAACAAAAUCCUUCUGUGACACUUGGGCGUCAGGAUUCGUCACACCUCUUAGCCCACAAAAAGUGACACACAGAGUAAAAACAUCCUCCCAAGGUUUCUUUGUCAGCUAUAUUAUAAAAGUGAGGAGGGAAAAUGACACACCACGCGAGCCACUGCCAGCUAUUUCCUGUUGAUGAGAUGUUUCAUGCUUCUUUAAGCACAGAUUGCAAAAUAAGAGUCACGUCUCGUCCUCCAGUGCUGAGGGAAAUGAUUGUGGCCUUGCAGGCAAAGCCGCCUCGGAGUAUGGAAUGAAUGUGCCAGUGAAGCAUGCCACAUUAAGAUGCUAUGGACCAGGGCGCGCACUUAUUCUGCUGCUGAUAAUGCCCUUUGGUGUAGUGGAGUCACAAGGAACUUAACACAGUGACAGCACACCAUGACAGGCGGUUCAAACGCUGAUAAGAUGAUAAAUUUACCCCCAAGGAGAGAGGAUCACCAACCUUGGAAUCCUAUUUUUAGAGCUCUUCUUUGCCUCGGCUUAAUUUUUUAAUAACAAUCACUAAUGUGACGAGAAGCGUCGACAGCCUUUGGCCUUGGACAUCAUCAAAUAAAAUUAUAAAAGUAUCAAACUAAUAAUGCUCAUAAAUGCAUGCAUAGUUCACCAGUGGAUAAGGAUGGCUCGCUAACGGUGCGGUGAGGCUUUUCAGAAAAUUAUUUAACAGCGGUAAGUCCAGGUCAUUUGUUUUUAAAUUGGUUUAUAUUGAUUGAUGAAAUCCCAUCAGACUUCACUCCAGGAGCCCCGGUGAGACCUUUUACUGAGUUCUGACAAACAGCUCCAAAUCCCAGGAUGGGGUAAGAGCUCAUUUAUAAUUCAAAAGUGAUCAAACGCUUGAAACGUGCCCGAAUCCAACAACAAAGUCCGGUUAAAGACCAGAAAAUUAUCAGUUACUACCACUUUACAGCUGCAGGUAGAAGUGAACAAGAGAAAGAGAAAGGGAAAGGGUCAAAGAGGAGGAAAGCCGGUAAUAAAAAUAAUGGUGUAAAGUGUGAAGACCCACCCCAAUGAAAAUCAUGUUUUCUUGUUGUCUACGUGUUCAUAUGGCGUUUUUCUGAAGUGACAGGACUCCCUAUCUCUCUGUGUAUUUCUCCCCAACUCGGCAGUGGCAGAUAGCUGUCAACAUGAGUCUGGUCCUUCCCAAGGUUUCUGCCUGUUUUUCUUUGCCACUGUCACUCAUGUUAGGAGCGUGGUCUCGACCUGCUCCUUUUUGGAAAGCGUCUUGAGAUAACGACUGUUGUGAUUUGGCGCUAUAUAAACAAAACUUGAUUGAUAGAUCAGAAGAAAAGUAAGUGCAAAACUGCAUUUCUGAGUAUUUCUGUAUUCAAAUCUUUGUGAACCUCUGGCAGACCCAAACAGCAGCUUCAGAUAUAGUGAGAUUUCUUAUGUAGCAAAUCCAAGCUCCGCCCCCAGAGCCCACUAUGCAGGCCAGACUCGGAGAAGUAGAGAGGACGAUCGCGGGACAAGCGUGUGCGUUAGUGGAUUACAAUGCUCGUAAGAAAGCUAAUUAUGAUACUAACUGUCCUCAUGUCCCCAAAGACAUUAGUGUCUGAGAGUUGAAUAGCUUCUAUGUUACCUGCCACUUCUACAACACUGACAAUGUUAGGCUACAAGCUAACAUGAAGAGAAGUGUGCAGAGCAGCGCUGUCUCCGCCCACGACUCAGAGUCGAAUUGCUAAUGAGCUACUGAAGCUCUGCAGAAGAAAAACACUUAAAAAUGACACAGGUAAUGUGAUUUUAGCUAAAAACUUCAAAAAAAAAAAAAAGGUCGGAGUGGGACUUUAAACUUAAAAAGAGAAGAUGCUAAAUUGAUCAAACACACAGCAACAUUAAGAGCUAUUAGCUGAAUAGGCUUUCAUUCUUUUUCAACAAACUACUUUUAGUCAUCUAAUUGAAACAGGGUGAAAAAUCACACAAGUCUCUGGUCUGAAAGCCUUCCUCAUUCAAAGGUCUCAGUGUAUUUAUAAACCUAAUUCAAAACCAGACAUAAAUCAACCAUGACGUUUGCGUCACAUCAAGGAAUGACUGACUCAUCCGCCCUUUUGUUGCCAGUUUUAUCUAAACUUUACUUGCACUAAAACUUCUUAUAAAUUCGACUGACACUGGCUGUCUGGCUCCUUCCUAAUUUACUUUUCAAUUACCAGCGAGGGAAAAAGCCUCUUGGCUCUAAAGAGAAAACUCUGGUGUGAUGUUCCCUUUGAGAUUCAUUUAGCAAAGGUUCAACCACCGCUAACAUUGUCAGACACGCUGGUCAGUUGUUGUUGUUGAAGUGCCGCUGAUUAAAACCACAAAAGGGAGCAUAAAUCCUGCACACCGGUACCUGCUCUUCCGUCUCACUUUUCCCAGACUGUAUGUCCUUGUUUUUGAAGGAUAAAAAUAACAUAUCAGGCAGCUCCUUUGUUGUGACUCUUCUGGGGAACCAAACAAGCUUUAUUUUUUGUGAUGACUAAGAUGUAGCUGAAGCCGGAGCUCUGCACCUUCAGCUUCACAACUUUUUGAAAUUUAUUUUUGGUUUUGUUGCCUUUUUCUCUUCCGUUCAUACUUCUCCCCUAACAACUUGGGAUUUGGGAGACUUUCGGAGGUACUUUUUGCAAUGAAAACAGUUUUAUCUUGGGUGUAAACAUAGACUAGGAUGACCAUAUUCUGACUUCCCAAAAAGAAGGACACGACUCUCGUACAAAGUUAAUUUUGAGGAGGAGGCAGACAGCGUCCAUUCUAUAUACAGUCUACGGUUGUACACAACGCAAAUACAUCAGAUAAAUUAUCAUAUUUAGUUUUUGAAUCAAUAAUAAAAAACUAAAGACUGAGAUAGUUUCUACUGUACAUUUGACCAAAAUUCAUCUUUUCCCUCCUGCUUAUCAUGGAAGAGGCGUUUUCAUUUUGUUUGUUUGUUGACCUCCACUUUCUGUGAGACACGGGGGACGUUGUGUGUGUAUGUGUGUGUGAGGCAACAGCGGGAUAAAGUCGAAACAACAUCGUUCAUGUCGAUACUCUCCCCUGUGUAUUGGCCACAGACAAUGAAAGGGUCGCAUGGAGGGAGGGAAAAAGAGGGAGAGAGAACGGGGGAUGGUGGACGGAGCUGUCUGUUUUGGAGCAUUCAGGUCUCUGUGCUAUUUGAUGAAGAUGAAGUGAAGUGUUAAAAAUCAAUAACCUGCUCGAUACAUCCUCAGAAUGCUUUGACCACGGGGUCCCCAACCGCAGGACUCAUUUGAGAUGCGGGUUGAAUAUAUCGAGACCUUCAAAGGCGUCGGUCAAUUUCAGUGCUGCUCUGGCAACAGCCACCGAGAUGACUGAUAAAGCAGGGACAGACCUGAUCUUAAAGGUAGAGUGAAGAAAAUACAACUGUGAUUGAAUUAAUACAACUGAGGAUUUACACAUAAAAUGGCAUCUAUACAUUUAAGCUCUAUAUCGCUGUUUCUCCAAAGGUAUGACCCAAAUGUGUUAAAAUGAAAAUCCGUUUUCACUCAAAUCUGGACUCAGAUCAGGAUUUACAUGUACAAAUUAGGACCAAAUGUUAAAAUUCAACCAAUCCUUAAAGGUAUGGCCCCUUGAUUGUGCCGAUUGUUCCUGGUGAGUCUAAGUCCUGCUGUUGAUCAUGAAUGCAGAGCCUUUUGGUGCCAGAAGAGCCAGGACUUGCUGAGCCAGAUGACCUGGGUCACUCAAAAGAGACUGAGUUCUCAUCCCUGUAGCAGCAGGAAUUCUGAGGUUGUUAACGUCAGAAAGAAGGACGAUCCAAGACCCUGGUCCUACAUGGAUGAACAAGAUGGGGGUCUUGGGGACUGUUUUUGUUUCAGCAGGUGGGAGCAGAUGGUCAGACUUUAUUUUGAAAGGCUAAGUAUCAACUUCCGACAUAAAAAAAUAAAUAAAAAUAAAACGUACCCUAAUAUAUUUGCUUUUAUUUCGGAAGGUGUCAAAUCAACUUCCAAUCCACUCAGUGGAGGUUUUCUACCAAAGGUCCUGUCUUGUUGUUAUUGGACAAAGUGAUAUCUACUUUUAUCUACUUGGACAAAAAUCUCAUCAUUGUUAGUAUUUGCUGUGUAAAAAGUCAAAAAGACAUUUUUUGACCUGAACCAGCUUCCGUCUGUUUAUCAAACAGUGGAAAACUCCUCACAGUGUUUCUAAGUUCACUCACAGCAGUGCCGCAGUGCUGAAGAGUAAAAAAAGAGCGUGCACUGGUACUAAUCGAGUUAGAUCUAGAUCAAACAUUUUAACUUUAACUUAAAAGAUUAGUCGCUCAGUAACAUUUUUAUUUUUAUCCGGGCCGGAUUAGCUACACUUCAUAUAUGCUUUUUUUCUGCUCACACUAAAAGCUUGUACAAAAUUCAGACAUGCCAAAAAAGGAAAUCAGAAGACUCCUCAGGCUGAAAAUCCAGACUCUACAUUUUUGUGUAGAAUCUGUCAACCAAAUAUGUUAAAGAAAUAAAGCAGUGAUUGUAAUAUUUUUAAAACAGAAGGUCAAAAUAAUUUCUCACAAACCGUGCAGCUGUCUUUUUGACAGGCAGGAUAUACGGCAGGAAAAUGUAUUUAUAUAUAUUGCACCAGAUCAGAGAUAAAGCAUCAUCACAGAACUACCGGGCCACGGUCAAAUGAAUAUUGAUCUAAAUAGAGAGGACAAGAUUUAAGCCCAUAAUGGCCUUAUGUUAUCAUCAAGCUUAGAUACACUCUGGAGACUUCUCUGAUGUUGUAUGAAUGUAAAUGUCAAGCAUGUGUGAGCCAAUCGAGUGUUUUAUACAUUUUAAAAGUGAUGAAAUGGAGGACCGACGCCAACAUGUAGCGUCUGCUUCAGAGGAAUAAAAGUCCCGGGACAUUUGAAGAGGUCUGCUGAGAAUCAGCUGCAUGGAAAAUUAGACCAUAUCUUUAUAUACAAGUGUAUCUGAUGGAUGAUAAUUUUAAUUGGUUACAGUUGGC